GACGAACGCUGGCGGCGUGCCUAAUACAUGCAAGUAGAACGCACAGUUUAUACCGUAGCUUGCUACACCAUAGACUGUGAGUUGCGAACGGGUGAGUAACGCGUAGGUAACCUGCCUGGUAGCGGGGGAUAACUAUUGGAAACGAUAGCUAAUACCGCAUAAUAUUGAUUAUUGCAUGAUAAUUGAUUGAAAGAUGCUAUUGCAUCACUACCAGAUGGACCUGCGUUGUAUUAGCUAGUAGGUGAGGUAACGGCUCACCUAGGCGACGAUACAUAGCCGACCGAGAGGGUGAUCGGCCACACUGGGACUGAGACACGGCCCAGACUCCUACGGGAGGCAGCAGUAGGGAAUCUUCGGCAAUGGACGAAAGUCUGACCGAGCAACGCCGCGUGAGUGAAGAAGGUUUUCGGAUCGUAAAGCUCUGUUGUAAGAGAAGAACGGGUGUGAGAGUGGAAAGUUCACACUGUGACGGUAUCUUACCAGAAAGGGACGGCUAACUACGUG
RNAcentral lists this ribosomal RNA (504 nucleotides) under uncultured bacterium. RNAcentral describes it as "partial 16S ribosomal RNA". It matches the Rfam family "Bacterial small subunit ribosomal RNA", at positions 28 to 507 of the family's 1533-position model. The record is from RNAcentral.